GACGAACGCUGGCGGCGUGCUUAACACAUGCAAGUCGAACGGAAAGGCCCUGCUUUUGUGGGGUGCUCGAGUGGCGAACGGGUGAGUAACACGUGAGUAACCUGCCCUUGACUUUGGGAUAACUUCAGGAAACUGGGGCUAAUACCGGAUAGGAGCUCCUGCUGCAUGGUGGGGGUUGGAAAGUUUCGGCGGUUGGGGAUGGACUCGCGGCUUAUCAGCUUGUUGGUGGGGUAGUGGCUUACCAAGGCUUUGACGGGUAGCCGGCCUGAGAGGGUGACCGGCCACAUUGGGACUGAGAUACGGCCCAGACUCCUACGGGAGGCAGCAGUGGGGAAUAUUGCACAGUGGGCGGAAGCCUGAUGCAGCAACGCCGCGUGCGGGAUGACGGCCUUCGGGUUGUAAACCGCUUUCGCCUGUGACGAAGCGUGAGUGACGGUAAUGGGUAAAGAAGCACCGGCUAACUACGUGCCAGCAGCCGCGGUGAUACGUAGGGUGCGAGCGUUGUCCGGAUUUAUUGGGCGUAAAGGGCUCGUAGGUGGUUGAUCACGUCGGAAGUGUAAUCUUGGGGCUUAACCCUGAGCGUGCUUUCGAUACGGGUUGACUUGAGGAAGGUAGGAGAGAAUGGAAUUCCUGGUGGAGCGGUGGAAUGCGCAGAUACCAGGAGGAACACCAGUGGCGAAGGGCGGUUCUCUGGGCCUUUCCUGACGCUGAGGAGCGAAAGCGUGGGGAGCGAACAGGCUUAGAUACCCUGGUAGUCCACGCUGUAAACGGUGGGUACUAGGUGUGGGGUCCAUUCCACGGGUUCCGUGCCGUAGCUAACGCUUUAAGUACCCCGCCUGGGGAGUACGGCCGCAAGGCUAAAACUCAAAGGAAUUGACGGGGCCCCGCACAAGCGGCGGAGCAUGCGGAUUAAUUCGAUGCAACGCGUAGAACCUUACCUGGGUUUGACAUGGAUCGGGAGUGCUCAGAGAUGGGUGUGCCUCUUUUGGGGUCGGUUCACAGGUGGUGCAUGGCUGUCGUCAGCUCGUGUCGUGAGAUGUUGGGUUAAGUCCCGCAACGAGCGCAACCCUUGUUCACUGUUGCCAGCACGUUAUGGUGGGGACUCAGUGGAGACCGCCGGGGUCAACUCGGAGGAAGGUGGGGAUGACGUCAAGUCAUCAUGCCCCUUAUGUCCAGGGCUUCACGCAUGCUACAAUGGCUGGUACAGAGAGUGGCGAGCCUGUAAGGGUGAGCGAAUCUCGGAAAGCCGGUCUCAGUUCGGAUUGGGGUCUGCAACUCGACCUCAUGAAGUCGGAGUCGCUAGUAAUCGCAGAUCAGCAACGCUGCGGUGAAUACGUUCCCGGG
This 1344-nucleotide ribosomal RNA is filed under the name uncultured bacterium. RNAcentral's name for it is "16S ribosomal RNA". It matches the Rfam family "Bacterial small subunit ribosomal RNA", at positions 28 to 1378 of the family's 1533-position model. The record is from RNAcentral.